This is an unclassified non-coding RNA of Macaca fascicularis (crab-eating macaque), 292 nucleotides long. It matches the Rfam family "Metazoan signal recognition particle RNA". Rfam says of the family: The signal recognition particle (SRP) is a universally conserved ribonucleoprotein. It is involved in the co-translational targeting of proteins to membranes. The record is from Ensembl. Lineage: Eukaryota; Metazoa; Chordata; Mammalia; Primates; Cercopithecidae.
GCUGGGUGUGCCUGUAGGCCCAGUGACUCAGGAGGCUGAUGUGGGAGGAUCGCUUGAGCCCAGGCAUUCUGGGCUGGAAUGUGCUAUGCAGAUUCGGUGUCUGUACUAAGUUCAGUACCAGGGAAUUCCUGGGAGCAGGGGUCACCCAGUCAUCCAGGUUAAGGAGGGGUGCACUGGCCCAGGUUGGAAGCAGAACUGGUCAAAACUCCUGUGCUGAUCAAUAGUGGGAUUGUGCCUGUCAAUAACCGCUAUAACCACCAUCCCCCAGUCUGGACAACAUAGUGAAAAUUUU